AAGAAAAGAAAAAAAAAAGACAAUUGGUAAAGAUUAUGUAAUAAUGCCUUAUUGCAAAUACAACUUUCUGACCUGCCUAUUCAUUUUUUUCAAAUACACAAUGGAAAUACUUCCAUAGGGGUAAAAACAACUUAUUAAAGGGUGUUUCCACUCUCUGCAAAUGUUGACUAGGUUACACUAAAUUUAAUAUAAAUAGAACUUACAUUUUCCUACUUAAAUGAUAGAAUUUUUAAACUAAUAUACCAUCAUAAUGUUGUUUUCCAGGCUGCCAGAAAUUGUCUAGUAAGUGAGGCGGGAGUUGUAAAAGUAUCUGAUUUUGGAAUGGCCAGGUAUGUUCUGGAUGAUCAGUACACAAGUUCUUCUGGUGCUAAGUUUCCUGUGAAGUGGUGUCCACCUGAAGUGUUUAAUUACAGCCGCUUCAGCAGCAAAUCAGAUG
Molecule: long non-coding RNA, 436 nt
Filed under: Homo sapiens (human)
Lineage: Eukaryota; Metazoa; Chordata; Mammalia; Primates; Hominidae
Description: non-protein coding lnc-TXK-1:1
Source: RNAcentral